UCCGGUUGAUCCUGCCGGAGGCCACUGCUAUCGGAGUUCGACUAAGCCAUGCGAGUCUUGGUAGGCUUUGCCUACCGGCGGACGGCUCAGUAACACGUGGACAACCUACCCUCGGGAGGGGGAUAACCCCGGGAAACUGGGAAUAAACCCCCAUAGGUCAAGAAGGCUGGAAGGCAUCAUGACCGAAAUUCCGAAAGGAGCCCGAGGAUGGGUCUGCGGCCUAUCAGGUCGUAGUGGGGGUAAUGGCCCCACUAGCCUACGACGGGUACGGGCCCUGAGAGGGGGAGCCCGGAGAUGGACUCUGAGACACGAGUCCAGGCCCUACGGGGCGCAGCAGGCGCGAAAACUCCGCAAUGCUCGAAAGAGCGACGGGGGAACUCCGAGUGCCUACGCUUUGCGUAGGCUUUUCUCGAGCCUAAAAAGCUCGGGGAAUAAGGGCUGGGUAAGACGGGUGCCAGCCGCCGCGGUAAUACCCGCAGCUCGAGUGGUGGCCGCUUUUAUUGGGCCUAAAGCGUCCGUAGCCGGUCUGGUAAAUGCCUGGGUAAAUCGUCUGGCUUAACCAGACGGCUCCCAGGUAGACUGCCAGACUUGGGACCGGAGGAGGGAGAGGGUACUCCAGGGGUAGGGGUGAAAAUCCUUUCCGUUAACGCUUUGCGUGAAGCGGAAAGGCUAUCACAAUCCUGUAAUCCCUGGAGGACCACCGGUGGCGAAGGCGCUCUCCUAGGACGGGUCCGACGGUGAGGGACGAAAGCCAGGGGAGCAAACCGGAUUAGAUACCCGGGUAGUCCUGGCCGUAAACGAUGUGGACUGGAUAUUGGGAUGGCUACGAGCUGUCCCAGUGUCGUAGGGAAGCCGUUAAGUCCACCGCCUGGGGAGUACGGUCGCAAGGCUGAAACUUAAAGGAAUUGGCGGGGGAGCACCGCAACGGGAGGAGCGUGCGGUUUAAUUGGAUUCAACGCCCGGG
This 964-nucleotide ribosomal RNA is filed under the name uncultured archaeon. RNAcentral describes it as "partial 16S ribosomal RNA". It matches the Rfam family "Archaeal small subunit ribosomal RNA", at positions 1 to 923 of the family's 1478-position model. The record is from RNAcentral.